This 67-nucleotide transfer RNA is filed under the name Zebrias zebra (zebra sole). RNAcentral's name for it is "tRNA-Phe". RNAcentral also lists the same sequence under 1 other name. The record is from RNAcentral. Lineage: Eukaryota; Metazoa; Chordata; Actinopteri; Pleuronectiformes; Soleidae.
CUUGCGUAGCUUAACUAAAGCAUGACACUGAAGCUGUUAAGAUAAACCCUAAAAAGUUUCACAAGCA